UGGGGAAUUUUGGACAAUGGGCGCAAGCCUGAUCCAGCAAUGCCGCGUGCAGGAUGAAGGCCUUCGGGUUGUAAACUGCUUUUGUACGGAGCGAAACGGCUCUGUCUAAUACAUGGGGCUAAUGACGGUACCGUAAGAAUAAGCACCGGCUAACUACGUGCCAGCAGCCGCGGUAAUACGUAGGGUGCAAGCGUUAAUCGGAAUUACUGGGCGUAAAGCGUGCGCAGGCGGUGAUGUAAGACAGGCGUGAAAUCCCCGGGCUUAACCUGGGAAUUGCAUUUGUGACUGCAUCGCUGGAGUGCGGCAGAGGGGGAUGGAAUUCCGCGUGUAGCAGUGAAAUGCGUAGAUAUGAGGAGGAACACCGAUGGCGAAGGCAAUCCCCUGGGCCUGUACUGACGCUCAUGCACGAAAGCGUGGGGAGCAAACA
RNAcentral lists this ribosomal RNA (427 nucleotides) under uncultured bacterium. Its description in RNAcentral is "bacterial SSU rRNA". It matches the Rfam family "Bacterial small subunit ribosomal RNA", at positions 355 to 774 of the family's 1533-position model. The record is from RNAcentral.